CUGAGUAAGCAGAUCCAACUGCAGGCUUUCAUAGAGUUGUGGUUGAAGGAAAAAGUUGAUGUCUAACUUCAAGACUUGCAUGAAGGAGAAGUGAAUAAUAAAUCUGGUGGUGAAAUGCUAGAAGAUAAAGAGGCAUUUCAUUUCUCUGUGUAUGCAUUUGCCAGGAGCGACUUUUUAGGCUUAAUAUCUGAAGAUGUGUCUCAGAAAUUGACUUUGUGCAGAGUUUCAAGUGGAAGAUGUCCAUGUGUUUUCAGACCUGGGAAUAAUUAUGGAUGAUGAUGUAAGCAUAAGAAAGGUGACAAGUACAAAUGAACAAAAGGCAAAAGAAAACCAUUAAAAAGGACAGCAGCAACAAAUGUUGGAGAGGCUGUGGAGACAGAGGAAUCCUUCUGCACUGCUGGUGGGAAUGUAAAUUGGUACAGCCUCUGUGGAGAGCAGUCUGGAGAACUCUCACAAGGCUAGACAUAGACCUUCCAUAUGACCCAGUAAUUCCUCUCCUGGGGAUCUACCCCAAGGAUUCCAUAAUGCCCAAUCAAAAAGAUAUGUGUACACCUAUGUUCAUAGCAGCACAAUUCAUAAUAAAUAAAACCUGGAAGGAACCCAGGUGCCCAACAACAGAUGAGUGGCUGAGAAAGCUGUGGUAUAUAUACACAAUGGAAUACUAGGUAGCUAUUAAGAACAAUGAACCCACCAUAUCUGACCCAUCUUGGUCAGAGCUAGAAGGAAUUAUGUUACUUGUGUUAAGUCAGAAAGACAAAGAUGAGUAUGGGAUGAUCCCACUCAUCAACAGAAGUUGAGAAAGAAGAACAGAAAGGGAAACUAAAACAAGAUCUGAUUAAAUUGAGAGUAGGGCAACAAAGUAAAAACACUGUGGU
Molecule: long non-coding RNA, 875 nt
Organism: Erinaceus europaeus (western European hedgehog)
Lineage: Eukaryota; Metazoa; Chordata; Mammalia; Eulipotyphla; Erinaceidae
Exons: 3
Source: RefSeq, a predicted model, not a curated record